RNAcentral lists this ribosomal RNA (200 nucleotides) under uncultured bacterium. RNAcentral describes it as "partial 16S ribosomal RNA". It matches the Rfam family "Bacterial small subunit ribosomal RNA", at positions 30 to 230 of the family's 1533-position model. The record is from RNAcentral.
AUUGAACGCUGGCGGCAUGCCUUACACAUGCAAGUCGAACGGCAGCACGGGAGCAAUCCUGGUGGCGAGUGGCGAACGGGUGAGUAAUACAUCGGAACGUACCCUAGAGUGGGGGAUAACGUAGCGAAAGUUACGCUAAUACCGCAUACGAUCUACGGAUGAAAGUGGGGGAUCGCAAGACCUCAUGCUCAUGGAGCGGC